GUGCCAGCAGCCGCGGUAAUACGGAGGGGGUUAGCGUUGUUCGGAAUUACUGGGCGUAAAGCGUACGUAGGCGGAUCAGAAAGUUGGGGGUGAAAUCCCGGGGCUCAACCCCGGAACUGCCUCCAAAACUCCUGGUCUUGAGUUCGAGAGAGGUGAGUGGAAUUCCAAGUGUAGAGGUGAAAUUCGUAGAUAUUUGGAGGAACACCAGUGGCGAAGGCGGCUCACUGGCUCGAUACUGACGCUGAGGUACGAAAGUGUGGGGAGCAAACAGGAUUAGAUACCCUGGUAGUCCACACCGUAAACGAUGAAUGCCAGUCGUCGGGCAGUAUACUGUUCGGUGACACACCUAACGGAUUAAGCAUUCCGCCUGGGGAGUACGGUCGCAAGAUUAAAACUCAAAGGAAUUGACGG
RNAcentral lists this ribosomal RNA (411 nucleotides) under Sulfitobacter sp. Its description in RNAcentral is "bacterial SSU rRNA". It matches the Rfam family "Bacterial small subunit ribosomal RNA", at positions 505 to 916 of the family's 1533-position model. The record is from RNAcentral. Lineage: Bacteria; Pseudomonadati; Pseudomonadota; Alphaproteobacteria; Rhodobacterales; Roseobacteraceae.